CAUUGUUGGAGAGUUUGAUCCUGGCUCAGGACGAACGCUGACGGCGCGCUUCACACAUGCAAGUCGAGCGAUGGCACCGGCCUUUGUGGUGGGUGUGCAGAGCGGCGGACGGGUGAGUAACACGUGAGUAACCUGCCCUGGGCGUGGGGAUAACCCUGGGAAACCGGGGCUAAUACCGGAUGGCCCCAUUCAUUCGCAUGGAUGGGUGGGGAAAGGUGCACCUUCGUGAGGGGGUGUUCCGGCUUGGGAGGGGCUCGCGGCCCAUCAGCUUGUUGGUGCGGUAGUGGCGUACCAAGGCGAUGACGGGUAGCCGGCCUGAGAGGG
RNAcentral lists this ribosomal RNA (324 nucleotides) under Actinopolyspora mzabensis. RNAcentral describes it as "bacterial SSU rRNA". It matches the Rfam family "Bacterial small subunit ribosomal RNA", at positions 1 to 300 of the family's 1533-position model. Lineage: Bacteria; Bacillati; Actinomycetota; Actinomycetes; Actinopolysporales; Actinopolysporaceae. The record is from RNAcentral.